Molecule: ribosomal RNA, 242 nt
Filed under: uncultured bacterium
Lineage: Bacteria
Description: partial 16S ribosomal RNA
Rfam family: Bacterial small subunit ribosomal RNA
Source: RNAcentral
UGGGUAACCUGCCUCAAAGAGGGGAAUAGCCUCCCCGAAAAGGGAGAUUAAUACCGCAUAAUAUGUUUUAGUCGCAUGACUUAAACAUCAAAGGAUUUUCUUUUAGAAAUUCCACUUUGAGAUGGACCCGCGGCGCAUUAGCUAGUUGGUGAGGUAACGGCUCACCAAGGCAACGAUGCGUAGCCGACCUGAGAGGGUGAUCGGCCACAUUGGAACUGAGACACGGUCCAGCUCCGUAGGAG